UAGGUAUUUAUGGGAUAACUCUGAUGUGAUAGAUCUAUUUUAUCAUCAUCUGCGUUCUAAAAAUAUUGACCUAUAUGUUGAGCAUGUUGAUGAUGAAGAGACGGGAGCUGAGAUGGAAAUUGGAGGUUUGUAUAAUGUGAUUGGGAAUAUUGAUGAUGACGGGAAUCAGCUUGAGGUUGCUAAUAGGGAUCUGGAUGAGGGGGAGGAUGAUGAUGCAUGUAAUUUAGUGGAUGUGGAACAAUCGAGUGACGGUGAUGAUUUUGAACUGGUUGAUGCAAGGAGAAAAUUAAAGGAAUUUUCAGCGAGACAUAGGCUACAAAGUGGCGCUUAUAGUGAGGUAGCUGGUACUUCCCAAACACCGGUUGUGGAUGAGGCUCAGUUGGUAGAUGCUUCUGGGUACGAAACAGAGUACCGUUAUUCAGAUGAUGAAGAAAGUCUUCAAUCAGGUUUGAAUGAUAAGGGCGAUGAGGAGGUUGAAGUUGCUAUUUCAAGGAGGAGAAGUAGGUUCCCAUCAUAUGAACAAAAUGGUACAAAUCUGGUAUUUAUUGUCGGCAUGACAUUCGAGGAUGCAGCUGAAUUUAAAGAUGCAAUUUUGAGGUAUUCUGUGGCUGAGCAAAGAGCAAUCAAAUACACCAAGAACACAAAAAAAUUUGUAAGAGCCAGGUGUGCCCAGACAAAUUGUAAUUGGAUGAUUUAUGGUGCUCUUGAUAGCAAGACAGGGUCAUUUCAUUUGAAAAAAUAUAUAGAUGAGCAUAUAUGUAGUAUCACUUUCGAGAAUAAGAGAGUGUCUAGUGCUUACUUAGCUAAACACUUCAUGAUUCUCAUUUCUGCAAUGCCUAAAAUCAAUGCACCUGAGUUGAAGAAAUUAGUUAGAGAACAGCUGGGAGUAAAUGUCACUUUGAGUCAGUGUAGGAGAACAAAGCUAAAAGUAUUGAAGGAAUUGCAAGGCAAUUAUAAGGAGGAGUAUGCACAGAUGUAUGACUACUUGGGGGAGCUUUACACCACAAGUCCUGCAAGCAAUUUAAAGAUGAAAGUUGAAAGGCCACUGUCAGAUUCUCUACCAUUAUUUGAUAGGGCUUACUUUUGCUUUGAUGCCUGCAGGAAAGGUUUUUUGGCUGGAUGUAGGAAGAUAAUUGGAUUAGAUGGAUGUUUCUUGAGGGGUUUGAUCAAGGGUGAGUUAUUGUGUGCCGUAGGGAGGGAUGCCAACAACCAAAUGUAUCCAGUGGCAUGGGCAAUGAUAAGAAUCGAGAAUAAGGACACAUGGACUUGGUUUAUCGAAUUGUUGAAAUCAGACCUUGAUAUGUGUAAUGGCAAUGGUUGGACUUUGAUAAGUGACCAACAAAAGGGUCUCGUCCCUUCCGUAGCUGAACUUUUGCCAAAUGCAGAACAUAGGAUGUGUGCAAGGCACAUAUAUUCCAAUUGGGGACAAAAAUACAACGGAAAACAGUUGAUGAGACAAUUUUGGAAAUGUGCUAAGAGUACUAAUAUGUCAGAUUUUGAGGUUCAUAGACAAAGAUUGAAAGAAAUGACUCACCAAGGUCAAGACGAUCUAUUCCGUACCGAGCCAAAAGACUGGUGCAAAGCCUUCUUUGACACCAAAAUUAAAUGUGAUGUUAUUGAUAAUAAUCUCAGUGAAGCUUUCAACGGGAGGUGCGUGGAAGCUAGGUGCAAGGCCAUUUUGAGCAUGCUGGAGGAUAUUAGAAUCAUGGUUAUGAAUAGAAUGCACACUCAGAGGGAUGGAUGUGCCAGGUGGACUAGAAAUUAUGGUCCAAGGAUUGCGCAUAAGUUACAUCAGAAUACAACUGCUAGUAGGUAUUGUCAUUUGAUAUGGAAUGGAGAUGAAGGAUAUGAGAUUAUGGAAGGUGGUGACAAAUAUGUUGUUGACUUCAAUUUGAAGACUUGUUCUUGUCGAGCUUGGGAACUUAGUGGAAUUCCAUGUUGUCAUGCCAUUUGUGCGAUACACCACAAGAGAAAUGAUCCGAGCGACUACCUAGCUGAGUGCUUCUACAAGGUAAAGUAUCUAAGUGCUUAUCAAUUCAUGAUGCCUACGGUGAGAGGACAGAAAUUUUGGGAGAAAACGCUGAAAGAAGCUCCUCAACCCCCACCGAUGAAGAAGAUGCCCGGUAGGCCAAAAAGAAGUAGAAGAAAGCAACCAAUUGAGCUUGUAAAAGGUGAUAGAAUGACUAAAGAGGGUAAACGAAUGACUUGUUCUACCUGCAUUGUGGUUGGACAUAAUAGCAAAGGAUGUCCUUUGAAAAAGGCCAAUGCUCAGGCCAAUGUAUGUUCAUCUAGUGCUCAUGCCAAUGCAAGUACAGCUGAAGCUCAUGCUCAAUCUCAAGCCAAUGUGUGUUCAUCUAGUGCUCAUGCCAAUGCAAGUACAGCUGAAGCUCAUGCUCAAUCUCAGGCCAAUUCCAUUGGACCAAGGCCUGACAAAAGACAAAUAAGUUGUGGUAGAACCAUCUAUUGUAAGUUUUAUAUGUCAUGGUUCCAAUUUAAUGAUGAUGAGUAUCUAUUCAGGCUAAAGCUAAAGCAACGACAAGCGUAAGUGAAGGAGGAUCCAAAGGCCAGGCCAAUGCUUCUGCAGAGGCCAGUGCAAUACGAGACAAUAGUGGGCAGGCCAAUGCUUCUGCUCAGGCUAGUGCAAAUGUAAGAGGAUGCAGUGCCACUCCAUCCUCUCAUAUAGGAUGUACAGCUACCGCUGAUAUAAGAGGAUGCAGUGGUGAGGCCAAUGCUUUUGCUAAAGUCUGUUUGAUCAAGGUGAAGGUAUUUAUAGUGCUCAAGCCAAUGUAAUUGCUCAGGAUAGACCGCAGAAAAUCCCAUUUAAAAGACCUGCAAUUGAAAAUGAAAUGAUGCAAGGACAAGCACAGGCGAAGAGGAAGAAAAUGGUAGGGUUGGGUGUUGACACAAAUCGUAGGACAAACCUUCAAAUUCUCAACCCCGGCACAACUGGUGUAAGAGUAUGUAACCUACCAGACAAAGGGGUAGUUUUAGGAGCUGCUUCAAUGGCAAAGGCACAUCCCCAAGCCAAUGCACAACCUCGGCAAUUAAGAACUUGUCCUCGAAAGCAUGUUGAUGUAAAGCGAAAGGCACCAUUACAACCCAAGGCGAGUUCCCAACCUCAGUCAUAUCAUGCUACAACAGCUCAAAAACAUCGUGUAAAGCGAACGACACCGUCACAACCCCAAGCGAGUUCUCAACCUCAGUCAUCUCAUGCUACAAUAGCUCCUCGAAAGCAUAUUGCGGUGAAGCCAAAGCCACUAUCACAACCAUAGGCCAGUUCCCAACCUCAGUCAUCUCAGGCUACAACAACUCCUCCAAAGCCUAUUGUUGCAGGACCAUAUAUGGAAAAGCCCAAGAAUUAUGAAUAAUGUGAAGGUCGAA
RNA transcript from Syzygium oleosum, 3381 nucleotides. RefSeq lists it as uncharacterized. The record is from RefSeq and is a predicted model, not a curated record. The transcript is spliced from 5 exons. NCBI's taxonomy places the organism in Eukaryota, Viridiplantae, Streptophyta, Magnoliopsida, Myrtales, Myrtaceae.